RNAcentral lists this transfer RNA (72 nucleotides) under Ovis aries (sheep). It matches the Rfam family "tRNA". Rfam says of the family: Transfer RNA (tRNA) molecules are approximately 80 nucleotides in length. Their secondary structure includes four short double-helical elements and three loops (D, anti-codon, and T loops). Lineage: Eukaryota; Metazoa; Chordata; Mammalia; Artiodactyla; Bovidae. The record is from Rfam by way of RNAcentral.
UCCCUGGUGGCUCAGAGGUUAAAGCGUCUGCCUGCAAUGCAGGAGACGUGGGUUCGAUCCCUGGGUUGGGAA